AGUCGCCACGGUAAUACAGAGGGUGCAAGCGUUAAUCGGAAUUACUGGGCGUAAAGCGCGCGUAGGUGGUUUGUUAAGUUGGAUGUGAAAGCCCCGGGCUCAACCUGGGAACUGCAUCCAAAACUGGCAAGCUAGAGUACGGUAGAGGGUGGUGGAAUUUCCUGUGUAGCGGUGAAAUGCGUAGAUAUAGGAAGGAACACCAGUGGCGAAGGCGACCACCUGGACUGAUACUGACACUGAGGUGCGAAAGCGUGGGGAGCAAACAGGAUUAGAUACCCCCGUAGUCCCUGUCUCUUAUACC
RNAcentral lists this ribosomal RNA (301 nucleotides) under uncultured bacterium. RNAcentral describes it as "partial 16S ribosomal RNA". It matches the Rfam family "Bacterial small subunit ribosomal RNA", at positions 510 to 808 of the family's 1533-position model. The record is from RNAcentral.